UCCUUCGGGAUGUGAGUAAAGUGGCGAACGGGUGAGGAACACGUGAGAAACCUGCCCAGAAGUGGGGGAUAACACUCCUAACGGGGUGCUAAUACCGCAUGUGAUGUGAGUCUCGCAUGGGACACACAUUGAAGAUGGCCUCUACUUGUAAGCUAUCGCUUCUGGAUGGUCUCGCGUCCGAUUAGCUUGUUGGUGGGGUAACGGCUCACCAAGGCUACGAUCGGUAGCUGGUCUGAGAGGAUGGUCAGCCACACUGGGACUGAGAUACGGCCCAGACUCCUACGGGAGGCAGCAGUCGAGAGGCUUUGUCAAUGGGGGAAACCCUGAACAAGCGACGCCGCGUGGGGGAUGACGGCCCUUGGGUUGUAAACCCCUUUCAAUCGGGACGAAACCCUGGCGGGCGAAUAGGCCGCCAGCCUGACGGUACCGAUAGAAGAAGCUCCGGCUAACUCCGUGCCAGCAGCCGCGGUAACACGGGGGGAGCAAGCGUUGUUCGGAAUUACUGGGCGUAAAGGGCGUGUAGGCGGUUUGGUAAGUGAGGUGUGAAAGCCCCCGGCUCACCCGGGGAGGGUCAUCUCAUACUGCUGGACUUGAGUGCGGAAGAGGAUGGGGGAAUUCCUGGUGUAGCGGUGAAAUG
RNAcentral lists this ribosomal RNA (637 nucleotides) under uncultured bacterium. RNAcentral's name for it is "bacterial SSU rRNA". It matches the Rfam family "Bacterial small subunit ribosomal RNA", at positions 76 to 688 of the family's 1533-position model. The record is from RNAcentral.